CCUGGCUCAGGAUGAACGCUAGCUACAGGCUUAACACAUGCAAGUCGAGGGGCAGCAUGGUCUUAGCUUGCUAAGGCCGAUGGCGACCGGCGCACGGGUGAGUAACACGUAUCCAACCUGCCGUCUACUCUUGGACAGCCUUCUGAAAGGAAGAUUAAUACAAGAUGGCAUCAUGAGUCCGCAUGUUCACAUGAUUAAAGGUAUUCCGGUAGACAAUGGGGAUGCGUUCCAUUAGAUAGUAGGCGGGGUAACGGCCCACCUAGUCUUCGAUGGAUAGGGGUUCUGAGAGGAAGGUCCCCCACAUUGGAACUGAGACACGGUCCAAACUCCUACGGGAGGCAGCAGUGAGGAAUAUUGGUCAAUGGGCGAGAGCCUGAACCAGCCAAGUAGCGUGAAGGAUGACUGCCCUAUGGGUUGUAAACUUCUUUUAUAAAGGAAUAAAGUCGGGUAUGGAUACCCGUUUGCAUGUACUUUAUGAAUAAGGAUCGGCUAACUCCGUGCCAGCAGCCGCGGUAAUACGGAGGAUCCGAGCGUUAUCCGGAUUUAUUGGGUUUAAAGGGAGCGUAGAUGGAUGUUUAAGUCAGUUGUGAAAGUUUGCGGCUCAACCGUAAAAUUGCAGUUGAUACUGGAUAUCUUGAGUGCAGUUGAGGCAGGCGGAAUUCGUGGUGUAGCGGUGAAAUGCUUAGAUAUCACGAAGAACUCCGAUUGCGAAGGCAGCCUGCUAAGCUGCAACUGACAUUGAGGCUCGAAAGUGUGGGUAUCAAACAGGAUUAGAUACCCUGGUAGUCCACACGGUAAACGAUGAAUACUCGCUGUUUGCGAUAUACUGCAAGCGGCCAAGCGAAAGCGUUAAGUAUUCCACCUGGGGAGUACGCCGGCAACGGUGAAACUCAAAGGAAUUGACGGGGGCCCGCACAAGCGGAGGAACAUGUGGUUUAGUUCGAUGAUACGCGAGGAACCUUACCCGGGCUUAAAUUGCAGAUGAAUUACGGUGAAAGCCGUAAGCCGCAAGGCAUCUGUGAAGGUGCUGCAUGGUUGUCGUCAGCUCGUGCCGUGAGGUGUCGGCUUAAGUGCCAUAACGAGCGCAACCCUUGUUGUCAGUUACUAACAGGUUCCGCUGAGGACUCUGACAAGACUGCCAUCGUAAGAUGUGAGGAAGGUGGGGAUGACGUCAAAUCAGCACGGCCCUUACGUCCGGGGCUACACACGUGUUACAAUGGGGGGUACAGAGGGCCGCUACCACGCGAGUGGAUGCCAAUCCCCAAAACCUCUCUCAGUUCGGACUGGAGUCUGCAACCCGACUCCACGAAGCUGGAUUCGCUAGUAAUCGCGCAUCAGCCACGGCGCGGUGAAUACGUUCCCGGGCCUUGUACACACCGCC
This 1381-nucleotide ribosomal RNA is filed under the name uncultured bacterium. RNAcentral describes it as "bacterial SSU rRNA". It matches the Rfam family "Bacterial small subunit ribosomal RNA", at positions 18 to 1394 of the family's 1533-position model. The record is from RNAcentral.